This 64-nucleotide transfer RNA is filed under the name Onymocoris hackeri. RNAcentral's name for it is "tRNA-Ser". Lineage: Eukaryota; Metazoa; Arthropoda; Insecta; Hemiptera; Thaumastocoridae. The record is from RNAcentral.
AGUUAAUUAGCUUAUAUAAAGCAUAUAUUUUGAAAAUAUAAGAUCAUAGUUAAAUGAUUAGCUU